This 329-nucleotide ribosomal RNA is filed under the name uncultured bacterium. Its description in RNAcentral is "bacterial SSU rRNA". It matches the Rfam family "Bacterial small subunit ribosomal RNA", at positions 29 to 355 of the family's 1533-position model. The record is from RNAcentral.
AUUGAACGCUGGCGGCAUGCUUUACACAUGCAAGUCGAACGGCAGCACGGGGGCAACCCUGGUGGCGAGUGGCGAACGGGUGAGUAACACAUCGGAACGUGCCCAGUUGUGGGGGAUAACCUAUCGAAAGGUAGGCUAAUACCGCAUGAGCUCGGCAAGAGGAAAGCGGGGGACUCAGCGAUGGGCCUCGCGCGACUGGAGCGGCCGAUGUCCGAUUAGCUAGNGGUGGGGUAAAGGCUUACCAAGGCGACGAUCGGUAGCUGGUCUGAGAGGAUGAUCAGCCACACUGGGACUGAGACACGGCCCAGACUCCUACGGGAGGCAGCAGU